GAUCGUGCUCAGGACGAACGCUGGCGGCGCGCCUAACACAUGCAAGUCGAACGGAGCUGAGAGGAGCUUGCUUUUCUUAGCUUAGUGGCGAACGGGUGAGUAACGCGUGAGUAACCUGCCCUGGAGUGGGGGACAACAGUUGGAAACGACUGCUAAUACCGCAUAAGCCCACGGUACCGCAUGGUACUGAGGGAAAAGGAUUUAUUCGCUUCAGGAUGGACUCGCGUCCAAUUAGCUAGUUGGUG
This 245-nucleotide ribosomal RNA is filed under the name uncultured bacterium. Its description in RNAcentral is "partial 16S ribosomal RNA". It matches the Rfam family "Bacterial small subunit ribosomal RNA", at positions 15 to 254 of the family's 1533-position model. The record is from RNAcentral.